GAUGAACGCUGGCGGCGUGCCUAAUACAUGCAAGUCGAGCGAACAGACGAGGAGCUUGCUCCUCUGACGUUAGCGGCGGACGGGUGAGUAACACGUGGAUAACCUACCUAUAAGACUGGGAUAACUUCGGGAAACCGGAGCUAAUCCCGGAUAAUAUAUUGAACCGCAUGGUUCAAUAGUGAAAGACGGUUUUGCUGUCACUUAUCGAUGGAUCCGCGCCGCAUUAGCUGGUUGGUAAGGUAACGGCUUACCAAGGCAACGAUGCGUAACCGACCUGAGAGGGUGAUCGGCGACACGAGAACUGAGACACGGUCCAGACUCCUACGGGAGGCAGCAGUAGGGAAUCUUCCGCAAUGGGCGAAAGCCUGACGGAGCAGCGCCGCGUGAGUGAUGAAGGUCUUCGGAGCGUAAAACUCUGUUAUUAGGGAAGAACAAAUGUGUAAGUAACUAUGCACGUCUUGACGGUACCGAAUCAGAAAGCCACGGCUAACUACGUG
Molecule: ribosomal RNA, 497 nt
Filed under: uncultured bacterium
Lineage: Bacteria
Description: partial 16S ribosomal RNA
Rfam family: Bacterial small subunit ribosomal RNA
Source: RNAcentral